Molecule: ribosomal RNA, 418 nt
Filed under: uncultured bacterium
Lineage: Bacteria
Description: bacterial SSU rRNA
Rfam family: Bacterial small subunit ribosomal RNA
Source: RNAcentral
AAGGAAUAUUGGUCAAUGGACGCAAGUCUGAACCAGCCAUGCCGCGUGAAGGAUGAAGGUCCUCUGGAUUGUAAACUUCUUUAUCUGGGACGAAAACGGGAUUUUUAUCUCAAUUGACGGUACCAGAGGAAUAAGCACCGGCUAACUCCGUGCCAGCAGCCGCGGUAAUACGGAGGGUGCGAGCGUUAUCCGGAUUUACUGGGUUUAAAGGGUGCGUAGGUGGGCUUAUAAGUCAGUGGUGAAAUCUCCGAGCUUAACUUGGAAACUGCCGUUGAUACUAUAGGUCUUGAAUUAUCUGGAGGUAAGCGGAAUAUGUCAUGUAGCGGUGAAAUGCUUAGAUAUGACAUAGAACACCAAUUGCGAAGGCAGCUUACUACAUAUAAAUUGACGCUGAGGCACGAAAGCGUGGGGAUCAAAC